This 431-nucleotide long non-coding RNA is filed under the name Nicotiana benthamiana. Its description in RNAcentral is "long non-coding RNA (NBEN_LNC004528)". Lineage: Eukaryota; Viridiplantae; Streptophyta; Magnoliopsida; Solanales; Solanaceae. The record is from RNAcentral.
UUAGACAAAGACGGAGGAACACAAGACCUAAAAGCUCACGUGACCUACAACCUCUUCAUCAACCAAAAACACACGAGAAACCCUACCUGUCCCUUACCACCAUAACCCCGCCGGCCAGCCGCCACCAGGCCACCCUAGCUACUGGCCCUCCAUCUUCAGCAACCUAUCUCCACGACCCAGCAAUGCCCAAACUUCUGGCGCCGUUCACAUCCAAACGACCACUCUUUGCUCUCAGUCCCAGCAGCUAACUCCCGCCUCUGUCUCUCUCAUUUCUGUCUCACCCCCAUCGCUGGCAAACGAGAAGGCAGUGGCCGCUCAGAAACAUCACCCCAUUUUCAAGUGCCUCCGAAUCUCCUCAUUAAUUAUCAGCAUAAGACUAGCCGUAUUUCUACUAAAAAUUCUUUGAAUAUGUAACAAAAGCUUGAUUCCAG